This 406-nucleotide long non-coding RNA is filed under the name Homo sapiens (human). RNAcentral's name for it is "HSALNT0328792". Lineage: Eukaryota; Metazoa; Chordata; Mammalia; Primates; Hominidae. The record is from RNAcentral.
UGGGCCAUGGAACCAAUGUAGUGGGUCCAACCAGCAUUAAAAAAGAAAGAAAGAAAGAAAGAAAGAAAGAAUAGAAAAUAUCAGAGUACAUAACAAGUAGUAAAGGAAGUCACCAUCUUCGGUGGGGACCUUUCUCAGACAAUCUAUUCUUCCACAAUUCUCCUUGAGCAACCAAGAUAUUAACGGGGAAGACUUGAAGUUUCUAUGCUGCUUGAUCCAGAAUUUUCUCACCAUGGAUGUGGGGUUCUCACCUUUGAAGCCAUGUGAUCUCUGCACAGCUGGCUCCCCUUUCCCUUCUGCCAUGAGUGGAAGCAGCCUGAAGCCCUCACCAGAAGCAGAUGCCAGUGCCAUGCUUCUUGUACAGUCUGCAGAACUGUGAGCCAAAUAAACCUCUUUCCUUUGUAAA